This 482-nucleotide ribosomal RNA is filed under the name uncultured bacterium. Its description in RNAcentral is "bacterial SSU rRNA". It matches the Rfam family "Bacterial small subunit ribosomal RNA", at positions 29 to 506 of the family's 1533-position model. The record is from RNAcentral.
UUGAACGCUGGCGGCAUGCUUUACACAUGCAAGUCGAACGGCAGCACGGGGGCAACCCUGGUGGCGAGUGGCGAACGGGUGAGUAAUAUAUCGGAACAUAUCCGGGAGUGGGGGAUAACGUAGCGAAAGUUACGCUAAUACCGCAUAUGCCCUGAGGGGGAAAGUGGGGGAUCGCAAGACCUCACGCUUUCGGAGUGGCCGAUAUCGGAUUAGCUAGUUGGUGGGGUAAAGGCCCACCAAGGCGACGAUCCGUAGCUGGUCUGAGAGGACGACCAGCCACACUGGGACUGAGACACGGCCCAGACUCCUACGGGAGGCAGCAGUGGGGAAUUUUGGACAAUGGGCGCAAGCCUGAUCCAGCCAUGCCGCGUGAGUGAAGAAGGCCUUCGGGUUGUAAAGCUCUUUCAGACGGAAAGAAAUCGGGCGCGUGAAUAGCGUGCCUGGAUGACGGUACUGUCAGAAGAAGCACCGGCUAACUACGU